RNAcentral lists this ribosomal RNA (497 nucleotides) under uncultured bacterium. RNAcentral's name for it is "partial 16S ribosomal RNA". It matches the Rfam family "Bacterial small subunit ribosomal RNA", at positions 28 to 507 of the family's 1533-position model. The record is from RNAcentral.
GAUGAACGCUGGCGGCGUGCCUAAUACAUGCAAGUCGAGCGAACAGACGAGGAGCUUGCUCCUCUGGCGUUAGCGGCGGACGGGUGAGUAACACGUGGAUAACUUACCUAUAAGACUGGGAUAACUUCGGGAAACCGGAGCUAAUACCGGAUAAUAUAUUGAACCGCAUGGUUCAAUAGUGAAAGACGGUUUUGCUGUCACUUAUAGAUGGAUCCGCGCCGCAUUAGCUAGUUGGUAAGGUAACGGCUUACCAAGGCAACGAUGCGUAGCCGACCUGAGAGGGUGAUCGGCCACACUGGAACUGAGACACGGUCCAGACUCCUACGGGAGGCAGCAGUAGGGAAUCUUCCGCAAUGGGCGAAAGCCUGACGGAGCAACGCCGCGUGAGUGAUGAAGGUCUUCGGAUCGUAAAACUCUGUUAUUAGGGAAGAACAAAUGUGUAAGUAACUAUGCACGUCUUGACGGUACCUAAUCAGAAAGCCACGGCUAACUACGUG